CGAGCCCCCCGCGCGCCUGCCGGGGCCUUCGGGGCGGGAGGUUCCGGCGUCGCGCUCGGCUUUCUCUUCCCGCCCGCCCGACCGCUCGAAGCUCGGUGCGGCCUGAGCCGAGAGAUUUCUCCCCUGAACCGUGAACGGACAAAGAGGCUGCCGCAGCAAGUAAAACAAAACUUGGACGGCUUCACGUCGAGCCCCGCAAGCGGGAUCAGAAUCGGGACCUUGUGCUUGCAAGGCAGGUGGCAGAACCACUGAGCUAAAUCCCUGGCCAAAGGAUUAACUGUUUAAAGCAUCUAGGACACCAAGGUCUCAGAUGAGGAAGAGAUUCCCAAAGCAUAAAGAAGCAAGAAGAACCAAUGUGUCAACACAAGCAACAGGAACAGAGUGCCAAGCUGAAGUUCCAGGGCAGGAAGGAAUUGGACUCAGGACCUUGUACUUGCCAGGCAUACAGCGGAACCACUGAGCUAAAUCCCUGGCCUCUUCCAUGUAUUUUUAAAAAGCUGACUGCAUAUCAGAGCUUUCAGGGAAUGACAGACACAAGUUGUUUCUCUCAACCUCCUUAGACUGAGAGCAUAACCACUACCUCUUCCUCUCUUCAACUCAGAUAAGGCUGAGGGAAGAGCAUGAGCAUGAAGUCUGGGGCAUGGAACAGCAUGUGACAGUGGGACCCCCGGGAGUGAGUAAGAACAAGAGUAACCUCAGAAGAAGCAUGGCAGCACCAUGGCUGGAAAGGUCACCUGACACCAGCAAAUAUGAAACCUGCUCUCUCUACUUCAUGACAGAAUAUGAUGAAAUUUG
Long non-coding RNA from Heterocephalus glaber (naked mole-rat), 795 nucleotides. Lineage: Eukaryota; Metazoa; Chordata; Mammalia; Rodentia; Bathyergidae. The record is from Ensembl.